UCGAACGAGAAAGUGGAGCAAUCCAUGAGUACAGUGGCGUACGGGUGAGUAACACGUGGAUUAUCUACCUUCUAGUGGGGAAUACCUCCGGGAAACUGGAGACAAUACCGCAUAAGCUCGUAAGAGGAAAGCAGCAAUGCGCUGGAAGAGGAGUCCGCGGCUGAUUAGCUAGUUGGCGGGGUAACGGCCCACCAAGGCGAAGAUCGGUAGCCGGCCUGAGAGGGCACACGGCCACACUGGCACUGAAACACGGGCCAGACUCCUACGGGAGGCAGCAGUGGGGAAUCUUGCACAAUGGAGGAAACUCUGAUGCAGCGACGCCGCGUGAGCGAUGAAGCCCUUCGGGGUGUAAAGCUCUUUCGACGGGAACGAUAAUGACGGUACCCGAAGAAGAAGCUGCGGCUAACUACGUGCCAGCAGCCGCGGUAAUACGUAGGCAGCAAGCGUUGUUCGGAAUUACUGGGCGUAAAGAGUGUGUAGGCGGUGUUCUAAGUUUGUCGUGAAAUCUCCCGGCUUAACUGGGAGGGUGCGGCGAAAACUGGAAUGCUAGAGGAUGGGAGAGGUAAGCGGAAUUCCUGGUGUAGCGGUGAAAUGCGUAGAUAUCAGGAGGAACACCUGUGGUGUAGACAGCUUACUGGACCAUUUCUGACGCUGAGACA
Molecule: ribosomal RNA, 659 nt
Filed under: uncultured bacterium
Lineage: Bacteria
Description: bacterial SSU rRNA
Rfam family: Bacterial small subunit ribosomal RNA
Source: RNAcentral